AACGUAGGAGGCGGACGUUAUCCGGAGUUACUGGGCGUAAAGGGCGUGUAGGCGGUUUGUUAAGUCUGGCGUGAAAGCUCUCGGCUAAACCGGGAGAGGUCGUUGGAUACUGGCGAGCUAGAGGAUGGUAGAGGCGUGUGGAAUUCCGGGUGUAGUGGUGAAAUGCGUAGAGAUCCGGAGGAACACCAGUGGCGAAGGCGACACGCUGGGCCAUACCUGACGCUAAAGCGCGACAGCAUGGGGAGCAAACGGG
Molecule: ribosomal RNA, 253 nt
Filed under: uncultured bacterium
Lineage: Bacteria
Description: partial 16S ribosomal RNA
Rfam family: Bacterial small subunit ribosomal RNA
Source: RNAcentral